RNAcentral lists this ribosomal RNA (664 nucleotides) under Asprogammarus seidlitzii. RNAcentral's name for it is "bacterial SSU rRNA". It matches the Rfam family "Eukaryotic small subunit ribosomal RNA", at positions 1255 to 1763 of the family's 1831-position model. Lineage: Eukaryota; Metazoa; Arthropoda; Malacostraca; Amphipoda; Acanthogammaridae. The record is from RNAcentral. RNAcentral also lists the same sequence under 2 other names.
CUCUUUCUCGAUUCAGUGGAUGGUGGUGCAUGGCCGUUCUUAGUUGGUGGAGUGAUCUGUCUGGUUAAUUCCGAUAACGAACGAGACUCUCCCCUGCUAACUAGUCGGUUGGAUCUUGAUCAGCGGGUUGCGUGCCGAGUAACUCUCGCUGUGCGGGUGGUGCGUCUCGGGCCUCACGGUUCGUUGCGUGCUCUCGUGUGGCGUUGGAUGCCUUGGAUCACACUGCACCCCAAGUCCGCCGCUUAUGCUAUAACUCUUCUUAGAGGGAUUCACGGCACUGAAGCCGUAAGAGACUGAGAGCAAUAACAGGUCUGUGAUGCCCUUAGAUGCUCUGGGCCGCACGCGCGCUACAAUGCCGGGCACAGCAGGUGUUUCUCCUGCUCCGACAGGAGCGGGUAACCCUCUGAAAGCCAGUGUUCUUGCAAGUGAUUCCUCCCUCGUGGAGUUUCACAGAGGCGUGCUUGGGCCUGGGACUUGCAAUUCUUUCCCACCAACGAGGAAUGCCUAGUAGCGGCGGGUCACUGAGCCCGCUGUGACUCAGUCCCUGCCCUUUGUACACACCGCCCGUCGCUACUACCGAUUGGGUGUACCAGUGAGAGCCUUGGACUGGCGUCCGUUGUUGCUCGCAAGAGUGACAAGCGGGUCCGACGGAAAGAGGUCCGAA